CUGGGGUUAGUUGUGACCUUUGUCAGGUUGAGGAAGACUAUGAGCAUGUCACUGUUUCUUGUCCCUUUGCAGUGGCUUGCUGGAGACUUCUAAGCAGCAUAAGUGGUUUGGGAUACCAUCCUGAUUCAUUGUUAGCUUUGAUUGAAUUUUCGUCUCAAACCAAGAUAGCAAGCUCUCUAAAAAUGAUGAUUUCCUAUCUUCCUUGGCUUUUAUGGAAUG
Molecule: long non-coding RNA, 219 nt
Filed under: Elaeis guineensis (African oil palm)
Lineage: Eukaryota; Viridiplantae; Streptophyta; Magnoliopsida; Arecales; Arecaceae
Description: long non-coding RNA (EGUI_LNC017929)
Source: RNAcentral